AAGAGAUCAACUGUCGGUUGUCGGCGGUUUGCGCUUCGGUGGCGGCUCAGGCUUUGGUUCGGGUUUGGGUUCUGGUUUAGGCAUCGGUUCAGGCUUGGGCUCGGGUUUUGGUUCAGGUUUAGGCAUGGGCUUAGGCAUGGGCUCAGGCUUUGGUUCUGGUUUAGGCAUUGGCUUAGGCUUGGGUUCGGGUUUUGGCUCUGGUUUGGGCAUUGGCUCAGGCUUGGGUUCUGGUUUAGGCAUGGGCUCAGGCUUUGGUUCCGGUUUAAUUGGCUCAGGCUUCGGUUCCGGCUUAGGCAUUGGCUCGGGCUUGGGCUCAGGUUUUGGCUCAGGUUUAGGCAUUGGCUCGGGUUUGGGCUCAGGUUUAGGCUCAGGUUUAGGCACUGGCUCAGGCUUAGGCUCGGGUUUAGGCUCAGGUUUAGGCACUGGCUUAGGCAUGGGCUCGGGUUUUGGUUCCGGUUUAGGCAUUGGCUCAGGUUUGGGCUCGGGUUUAGGCUCGGGUUUAGGCAUUGGCUUAGGCAUGGGCUCGGGUUUUGGUUCCGGUUUGGGCAUGGGCUCUGGUUUUGGCUCGGGUUUUGGCAUUGGCUUAGGCAUGGGCUCUGGUUUUGGUUCCGGUUUAGGCAUCGGCUCAGGUUUCGGCUCUGGUUUAGGCAUUGGUUUGGGCAUUGGUUCCGGCUUGGGCUCUGGCUUCGGCUCGGGCUUGGGCAUGGGUUCAGGUUUGGGCUCAGGUUUCGGUCCCGGUUUGGGCAUUGGUUCUGGCUUCGGCUCAGGUUUCGGUUCAGGUUUAGGCAUGGGUUCAGGUUUCGGUUCAGGUUUUGGCUCUGGUUUUGGCAUGGGCUUGGGCUCCGGUUUUGGCAUGG
Molecule: long non-coding RNA, 857 nt
Filed under: Brachypodium distachyon (stiff brome)
Lineage: Eukaryota; Viridiplantae; Streptophyta; Magnoliopsida; Poales; Poaceae
Description: long non-coding RNA (BDIS_LNC001046)
Source: RNAcentral